Ictidomys tridecemlineatus (thirteen-lined ground squirrel) is the source of this 71-nucleotide non-coding RNA. The record is from Rfam. NCBI's taxonomy places the organism in Eukaryota, Metazoa, Chordata, Mammalia, Rodentia, Sciuridae.
GUGAUUUUAGCUCAGUGGUAGAGAGCUUGCCUCACAAGCAUGAGACACUGGGUUCAAUCCUCAAAACCACA